GUGAAACUGCGAAUGGCUCAUUAAAUCAGUUAUCGUUUAUUUGAUAGUACCUUACUACAUGGAUACCUGUGGUAAUUCUAGAGCUAAUACAUGCUAAAAACCCCGACUUCAGGAAGGGGUGUAUUUAUUAGAUAAAAAACCAACGCCCUUCGGGGCUCCUUGGUGAAUCAUAAUAACUUAACGAAUCGCAUGGCCUUGCGCCGGCGAUGGUUCAUUCAAAUUUCUGCCCUAUCAACUUUCGAUGGUAGGAUAGUGGCCUACCAUGGUGGCAACGGGUAACGGGGAAUUAGGGUUCGAUUCCGGAGAGGGAGCCUGAGAAACGGCUACCACAUCCAAGGAAGGCAGCAGGCGCGCAAAUUACCCAAUCCCGAUACGGGGAGGUAGUGACAAUAAAUACUGAUACGGGGCUCUUUUGGGUCUCGUAAUUGGAAUGAGAACAAUUUAAAUCCCUUAACGAGGAACAAUUGGAGGGCAAGUCUGGUGCCAGCAGCCGCGGUAAUUCCAGCUCCAAUAGCGUAUAUUAAAGUUGUUGCAGUUAAAAAGCUCGUAGUUGAACCUUGGGGUCUGGCUGGCCGGUCCGCCUCACCGCGAGUACUGGUCCGGCUGGACCCUUUCCUUUCUGGGRAACCUCAUGGCCUUCACUGGCUGUGGGGGGAAMCARGACUUUUACUGUGAAAAAAAUUAKAGUGUUCAAAGCAGGCCUUUGCUCGAAUACAUUAGCAUGGAAUAAUAGAAUAGGACGUGUGGUUCUAUUUUGUUGGUUUCUAGGACCGCCGUAAUGAUUAAUAGGGAUAGUCGGGGGCGUCAGUAUUCAGCUGUCAGAGGUGAAAUUCUUGGAUUUGCUGAACACU
RNAcentral lists this ribosomal RNA (851 nucleotides) under Penicillium sp. Its description in RNAcentral is "SSU rRNA". It matches the Rfam family "Eukaryotic small subunit ribosomal RNA", at positions 81 to 948 of the family's 1831-position model. Lineage: Eukaryota; Fungi; Ascomycota; Eurotiomycetes; Eurotiales; Aspergillaceae. The record is from RNAcentral.